CAAGGAUUGGUGAGGCUGGCAAGCAGGCAGAAGAAACAAGGAAGCAGGCGCAGCAAGAGAACAAGGAGAGGACUUCCGGGGUUAGCCACCCAUCUAGCCAUGAAGUAAGAAGGAAAGUAAAAAUCUACAGAAGAGACAGACAAAAAAAGCCCAGAAGGAAAGGUAGUCGGGAUAAUCUAAAACAGGACUGGAACCUGCAAAUGCCUGGCCAGGCACCACCUGAAGCUGUCACAGGAAGUGUAGGAAAUGAACAGACUGGCACAUGCAUGUCCAGCUGUGCCUCCUCUCCAGGGCGCUCCUUUGUCAUUCAAGCCAUCAGAGAGCAGCAUCCACUCAGACUGCUGGGACCAGGUUCAAGCCUACCCUACAGAACCCACAGUUCUAUGAAGAAACUUAAAGUGAACCCACCACUACUUUUCUAGGCAUCCACUAGGGCCCUGAGGUCAUCAUCCAUCUGUCACUUGCACAGACCUGGCUUUCAAGAACCUCUCACUACAAGCAGCCACAUGGAUGACUGGAAGAGAAGCACCCCAACUGGCAGAGGGACAGCAAUAAAAGCUGUCUCUGGACUGCAGCACCCUCUAGAGGACACAUGGAAUCUUAAUGCAACCACCAAAGCCUGUGGCCCUGCCUGUCCCCUCUCUGGGUCACUGGGCUUCUGAGAACUGAGUGAGUAUAGACCAGAUGCAUGACCAAGUCAAGUGAUCACUCAGAGGGCAGGAAGGAAGCAAAGAGUUCCAAAAUACAUUCACUUCUUUUGUCUAUACUUUUCAGCUAGACAAUGUAAGGUUUGAAUCAAUGGGAGCUGGACACUGGACAAUGGGGUCAGGAGGUGGCCAGGGGCACAGCAAGGACUCAGUGCUGCACCGGCCAACCUGCCUCCCUCCUUCAGGAGGACCCUAAAUUACUCAACAGGGAUAGCAGAGGACCUUAACUCUAACACCCAGUGCUAUUCUUUUACCCCAGAUGGUGGUGACGACAUCAUAUUGGGGACACACCUAUGUGGCACACAGUCCCCUCCUUUCAAUACCUCUCUUCAGCACAGUGAAGCUGUCCCUGGCCACUCCCAAUGAACAAUCAAGCAGCCUUUAAAAACUGGGUUCUCCCAACUGGAAGAAAAGCACGGUGUCAUUUUUACAAUCACUAAAAUAAUGCAAAAGUAAGAUAGAGGCACAUGGUUGUCUAACAGGGCCAGGCAACGAUUUCAAAAGAAUGAGAUGUCAGAAUUUCCUCUUAGUCACCCAGGAGGUUGAAGGAGAUGGACUAAGACAGUAUCAAAG
RNAcentral lists this long non-coding RNA (1280 nucleotides) under Cricetulus griseus (Chinese hamster). Its description in RNAcentral is "lncRNA (ENSCGRG00015037815.1)". Lineage: Eukaryota; Metazoa; Chordata; Mammalia; Rodentia; Cricetidae. The record is from RNAcentral.